This 555-nucleotide ribosomal RNA is filed under the name Andrias davidianus (Chinese giant salamander). RNAcentral describes it as "partial large subunit ribosomal RNA". It matches the Rfam family "Bacterial large subunit ribosomal RNA", at positions 1816 to 2597 of the family's 2925-position model. The record is from RNAcentral. Lineage: Eukaryota; Metazoa; Chordata; Amphibia; Caudata; Cryptobranchidae.
CGCCUCUUGUUUCUCCUAUAUAAGAGGUCCUGCCUGCCCAAUGACAUAUUGUUAAACGGCCGCGGUAUCAUGACCGUGCAAAGGUAGCGUAAUCACUUGUCUUCUAAAUAAAGACCGGUAUGAAUGGCAAAACGAGAGUUCAACUGUCUCCUUUAACCAAUCAGUGAAAUUGAUCUUUCCGUGCAGAAGCGGAAAUUUAAAUAUAAGACGAGAAGACCCUAUGGAGCUUAAAAUAUAAACCAUUUAUAAAAUAAUAUACCAAAAGGCUAAUAAUUAACAUAAAUUCUGGUUAAAAUUUUAGGUUGGGGCGACCACGGAAUAAAAUAAAACUUCCGAGAUGAAAUUAUAAUUCAAGGGUAACAACCCUAAAAAAUAAAACAUUUAACAUAAUUGAUCCAAUAUUUUGAUCAACGGACCAAGUUACCCUAGGGAUAACAGCGCAAUCCUUUCCAAGAGUUCUUAUCGACGAAUGGGUUUACGACCUCGAUGUUGGAUCAGGACAUCCUAAUGGUGCAGCUGCUAUUAAGGGUUCGUUUGUUCAACGAUUAAAGUCCC